RNAcentral lists this ribosomal RNA (206 nucleotides) under uncultured bacterium. RNAcentral describes it as "partial 16S ribosomal RNA". It matches the Rfam family "Bacterial small subunit ribosomal RNA", at positions 568 to 774 of the family's 1533-position model. The record is from RNAcentral.
CUCGUAGGCGGCCAACUAAGUCGGACGUGAAAUCCCCAGGCUCAACCUGGGAACUGCGUCCGAUACUGGAUGGCUUGAAUUCGGGAGAGGGAUGCAGAAUUCCAGGUGUAGCGGUGAAAUGCGUAGAUAUCUGGAGGAAUACCGGUGGCGAAGGCGGCAUCCUGGACCGACAUUGACGCUGAUGAGCGAAAGCCAGGGAGCAAACG